RNAcentral lists this ribosomal RNA (1344 nucleotides) under uncultured bacterium. RNAcentral's name for it is "16S ribosomal RNA". It matches the Rfam family "Bacterial small subunit ribosomal RNA", at positions 28 to 1378 of the family's 1533-position model. The record is from RNAcentral.
GACGAACGCUGGCGUGCGUGCUUAACACAUGCAAGUCGAACGGAAAGGCCCUGCUUUUGUGGGGUGCUCGAGUGGCGAACGGGUGAGUAACACGUGAGUAACCUGCCCUUGACUUUGGGAUAACUUCAGGAAACUGGGGCUAAUACCGGAUAGGAGCUCCUGCUGCAUGGUGGGGGUUGGAGAGUUUCGGCGGUUGGGGAUGGACUCGCGGCUUAUCAGCUUGUUGGUGGGGUAGUGGCUUACCAAGGCUUUGACGGGUAGCCGGCCUGAGAGGGUGACCGGCCACAUUGGGACUGAGAUACGGCCCAGACUCCUACGGGAGGCAGCAGUGGGGAAUAUUGCACAAUGGGCGGAAGCCUGAUGCAGCAACGCCGCGUGCGGGAUGACGGCCUUCGGGUUGUAAACCGCUUUCGCCUGUGACGAAGCGUGAGUGACGGUAAUGGGUAAAGAAGCACCGGCUAACUACGUGCCAGCAGCCGCGGUGAUACGUAGGGUGCGAGCGUUGUCCGGAUUUAUUGGGCGUAAAGGGCUCGUAGGUGGUUGAUCGCGUCGGAAGUGUAAUCUUGGGGCUUAACCCUGAGCGUGCUUUCGAUACGGGUUGACUUGAGGAAGGUAGGGGAGAAUGGAAUUCCUGGUGGAGCGGUGGAAUGCGCAGAUAUCAGGAGGAACACCAGUGGCGAAGGCGGUUCUCUGGGCCUUUCCUGACGCUGAGGAGCGAAAGCGUGGGGAGCGAACAGGCUUAGAUACCCUGGUAGUCCACGCUGUAAACGGUGGGUACUAGGUGUGGGGUCCAUUCCACGGGUUCCGUGCCGUAGCUAACGCUUUAAGUACCCCGCCUGGGGAGUACGGCCGCAAGGCUAAAACUCAAAGGAAUUGACGGGGCCCCGCACAAGCGGCGGAGCAUGCGGAUUAAUUCGAUGCAACGCGUAGAACCUUACCUGGGUUUGACAUGGAUCGGGAGUGCUCAGAGAUGGGUGUGCCUCUUUUGGGGUCGGUUCACAGGUGGUGCAUGGCUGUCGUCAGCUCGUGUCGUGAGAUGUUGGGUUAAGUCCCGCAACGAGCGCAACCCUUGUUCACUGUUGCCAGCACGUUAUGGUGGGGACUCAGUGGAGACCGCCGGGGUCAACUCGGAGGAAGGUGGGGAUGACGUCAAGUCAUCAUGCCCCUUAUGUCCAGGGCUUCACGCAUGCUACAAUGGCUGGUACAGAGAGUGGCGAGCCUGUGAGGGUGAGCGAAUCUCGGAAAGCCGGUCUCAGUUCGGAUUGGGGUCUGCAACUCGACCUCAUGAAGUCGGAGUCGCUAGUAAUCGCAGAUCAGCAACGCUGCGGUGAAUACGUUCCCGGG